This 1028-nucleotide long non-coding RNA is filed under the name Sinocyclocheilus grahami. Its description in RNAcentral is "lncRNA (ENSSGRG00000040847.1)". Lineage: Eukaryota; Metazoa; Chordata; Actinopteri; Cypriniformes; Cyprinidae. The record is from RNAcentral.
CAUUGAUUGAUCUCAUAUUUUAGCCAGAAGCAAUAGUUUUAAGUCAAAAGUGUCUUAAUGAUGGAUUUGUUUCUUAAAACAUGCAGCUUUUGGCUUCACAAGACACGGUCUGGAGUGCUGUGGAUUAUUGUGAUGUUUUUAUCAGCUGUUUGGACUCUCAUUCUGACGGCACCCAUUCACUUGCAGAGGAUCCACUGGUGAGCAAGUGAUGUAGUGCUAAAUUUCUCCAAAUCUGUUCCUAUCAAGAAACAUAAGAAAUCAUCUACAUGUUGGAUGGCAUGAGGAUGAGUACUUUUUCAACACAUUUUUAUUUCUGAGUGAACUAUUCCUUUAAGCGCAGACAUCCGCUUAGCUAUUUUGUUCUAAUGGAAUGACAUUCAGAAGUGUGAAAUAGCUUUAGACCUUUACAGUAGUAGUAAAGAAUGUUACAACACUGACAUCUGCUGGCUCAUCGCAAAGACAUUAUUUUAUAUUCCUUUGGUAUUUCUUAUAAACCCUUGUUUCAUAUUCCUUGUUUGGAUCUGAUGUGGUAAUUGUUGUGUUCAAUCUGUUCAGUCCAAGUGUGUUACACUUAAAAUAGCCCUAAAUGUAGAUCCAGAAUAUAUUCUCAUAUUAAAUAUCAGAUUUUAUUGUGAUUAUUAAAUCCUCAUCAUACCAUGUAUUGUGCUUUCAGCCUGGACUUGGAUUUAAUCUGCUUUGGACUGUGUACUUUACAAAAUGCACGUAAAGCGUGUUUUGAAGAUCUCACUGACCUGUGGACACUAGAUGCUAGAACGGCUGUUGUCACAUCUGCACUGAAGCCUGUUGCCCAUUUCCAGCAACUGCACUAUCCAUGUUUCCAUUUAAAGCACUUUUACUGAAUGUCCAUCUCUAGUAGCACUGCAGGUGCUGAUAUUCAGACCAAAGGCAUGAUUGUGAAUGGGAUGUUCUUCAAUAAACAAUUAGUUAAUAGACCAUGUUUUCCCCUCUGAAAUGUAAGCUACUGUUGUUAAUAAAUAGUUCCAUAAGUUGUCAGAGCAUCAAGUGUU